AAUGUUUGUAGAAUAAUUUGUGUA
RNAcentral lists this microRNA (24 nucleotides) under Panax ginseng (ginseng). Its description in RNAcentral is "pgi-miR6140b". Lineage: Eukaryota; Viridiplantae; Streptophyta; Magnoliopsida; Apiales; Araliaceae. The record is from miRBase by way of RNAcentral.